This 460-nucleotide long non-coding RNA is filed under the name Nicotiana benthamiana. RNAcentral's name for it is "long non-coding RNA (NBEN_LNC012880)". Lineage: Eukaryota; Viridiplantae; Streptophyta; Magnoliopsida; Solanales; Solanaceae. The record is from RNAcentral.
CACAAUUGUCAUCAGAGGUGGCAGAUUCACAUAUGUUUCUAUCUACUGUAACAACAUGCUAAAUGGAGCAGCACGGAAAAUCAUCCAAUUACAAUAUGCAGGUAUAUUGUAAAUCAUCCAAUUACAAUAUUGGGAGCUCUAAAGUUCAGUUGUCCAAAUAUAGCUCCAUACAAGUCAAAGGGCAUUGAGAGAGCAACAGAGCUUAAUGGAGGACGGAGCACCAAAGCAAACAACAACAUUACAUGUCAAAAAGCUCAUGACCAGACAAACCGUGAAUUUUCCAUCCUCUCUCAUGCCUGAGUACCUAUGUAGAUCAGUCAUCUCUGCCUACUGGGGAGUGGUAGUUUAUUGUGGGCAAACAACAAUAUUACAUGUCAAAAAGCUCAUGACCAGACAAACGGUGAAUUUUCCAUCCUCUCUCAUGCCUGAGUACCUAUGUUUGUUUUUUUGUUUUUGUUUU